GCAAUUGCAAGCCAGAAUCGUGGCAGAAUCAUCAGCAUAUGUUAACUUUCGUUUUCUGUCCCCAAAAUGCUCUGCCACAAUAGUCUUUUUCGCUACUGCUACUGCUACUGCUUCUAGAAGAUCUAGAUUCAUUGAUUUGCACAGGUUUGCUUAUUAUUACAAGAAAAAAGAUUUGGAGUAGAAGCAACACUAUUGUUACCCCAGAACAUACCGUUAUGGAACUGGCCACUUCACUUUGCUACACUUCUCCAAACAAUCUCACAGCCGAUUAUAAUAAUAAUCCUAGGUACCCAUCAAAAACCAAGUUUAACCCACCUUUUUAUCCAUGGGUUCCUACGCGAAGAUCUAAAACUUCGGGAUCUUCUUCUUUAUCAAGAAUGGUUUCAAAUGGGUAUGCUGGUAGAAGCAGCAGCAACUUUAGAUAUGGAGAUGGUAAUACUGUUAUUACUAAUACCAACUACAAGCAGCGACAGAAAUACACGCAGAUGGAGUCAUGUUUAGUCAUAGCUCCACCUAAAGGUAGAAAGCCACGUGCCAUCAUCAAAUUCCUUGGUGGUGCCUUCAUUGGAGCUGUCCCUGAAGUCACUUACAGUUGUUUGAUUGAGCUAUUGGCAAAGGAUGGUUAUGUUGUUAUUUUAGUGCCUUACAACGUGACAUUCGAUCAUUCUAAAGCUGCUAAUCAAGUCUAUGAGAGGUUCAAUGCUUGCUUGGAUUUAUUACUGCAAUCUGGAUUGCCCCAUGAUGGUUUAACUGCUUCGGAGCUUGUUGACCUUCCAAUUUUUUCUGUUGGUCACAGCAACGGGGCACUUCUCCAAGUUUUAACAGGAAGUUAUUUCUGUGAGAAGAUACCAAAGGCUAAUGCCAUAAUCUCAUUCAACAACAGGCCUGCUACAGAGGCGGUGCCAUAUUUUGAGCAGCUAGGUCCACUAGUUAAUCAGAUGAUGCCUGUUGUCGAAGCUUCUCCAAUGUAUGCGAUGGCCAGGAGUGCCUCAGGAGAUGCAUGGAAGGUUCUGCUUGAUACAGCUGGAGCAAUUAUACCUGAUAGCGAACAAGAAGCCCUAAUUUCAUUGACCAAAUUUGUUGAUCAGUUGCCAUCAGUAUUUGGUCAGGUCACAGAAGGGAUAUCAGAGUUCAAGCCAUCACCCUCUGAAAACCGUGAUUGUUGCAGGAACUCAUAUAAUGUUCAACACACAUUACUGGUGAAGUUCAGCUCUGAUGCUAUUGAUGAGACAGAUGUCCUUGAAGAGACCCUGAAACCUCGUGUUGAGUCCAUAGGUGGAACAAUAGAAAAGGUCCAAUUAAGUGGCACCCAUAUCACCCCAUGCAUACAGGAACCAAAAUGGCAAGCAGGUUUUGUGUACACUCCUGUAGAUGCCAUUGCUCAAGGCCUUAAAACUCUCUCAUUGAAUGAGACUAAAGUCCUCUCCAGAACCAUCUGUGACUGGCUCAGGUGUUUUGAAGAUUUGAGUGCUUGAUGUCCAGCAUAAGGUUUUUUGAACGGUGCAUCCUUUCAUUAGAAAAAAGGAAUGUCAUAAGAUCCUGGUUCAUAAAUAUGGUUUGUGAACUUUUCGAAGAAAUACAAAAUCUGCUUCAGAAUUGCAAUAGCCCUAUGUCUACCCUGGAAGUUUCAAUUGAACUAAAACUCGAAUGUAGAGAGAUGUUUCUAGAGUGCAUGUGCCCUUAUUUUUAUUUUUAUUUUUAAUGAACUCUUGAUGUUGGAAAGAGCAAUUACUGUACUAUUGUGCUGCAACCAAUGAAUAUACACAACUGCUACCGAUUGUUGAGCAA
This is an RNA transcript of Populus nigra (black poplar), 1788 nucleotides long. RefSeq lists it as uncharacterized. NCBI's taxonomy places the organism in Eukaryota, Viridiplantae, Streptophyta, Magnoliopsida, Malpighiales, Salicaceae. The record is from RefSeq and is a predicted model, not a curated record. The transcript is spliced from 10 exons.